Ornithodoros turicata is the source of this 223-nucleotide long non-coding RNA. RefSeq lists it as uncharacterized. The transcript has 3 exons. NCBI's taxonomy places the organism in Eukaryota, Metazoa, Arthropoda, Arachnida, Ixodida, Argasidae. The record is from RefSeq and is a predicted model, not a curated record.
ACCUUGGAAGGUACCUCCAGAAGCCGUUAUACUUCAUGAACUGAAGUUGCAGACGAUUUUGACAGAUCGAUUUCGGUGAACAACACAGAUGAUCCACCACACACACGACGUGGGAAAUGGAACAGAUACAUCGUGGAGAUGUUGAAAGAGAUCAGGUAGGGUAUACCCAUGCAACUACAUUAUCCAUGGCACGUUGUAUGACGUCCGACAUUAGGCAAAAAAU